Molecule: transfer RNA, 86 nt
Filed under: Patescibacteria group bacterium
Lineage: Bacteria
Description: tRNA-Leu
Rfam family: tRNA
About the family: Transfer RNA (tRNA) molecules are approximately 80 nucleotides in length. Their secondary structure includes four short double-helical elements and three loops (D, anti-codon, and T loops).
Source: RNAcentral
GCCGGGGUGAUGGAAUGGUAGACAGCGGGGACUUAAAAUCCCCUGGCAGAAAUGCCGUGCGGGUUCGAGUCCCGCCCCCGGUACCA